CCUACGGGUGGCUGCAGUCGAGGAUCUUCGGCAAUGGGCGCAAGCCUGACCGAGCGACGCCGCGUGUGCGAUGAAGGCCUUCGGGUUGUAAAGCACUGUCGAGGGGGAUAAAAGCCGCAAGGCUUGAUAGAUCCCUGGAGGAAGCACGGGCUAAGUUCGUGCCAGCAGCCGCGGUAAGACGAACCGUGCGAACGUUGUUCGGAAUCACUGGGCUUAAAGGGCGCGUAGGCGGCUUGCCAAGUCAGGGGUGAAAUCCUGCAGCUCAACUGUAGAAGUGCCUUUGAUACUGGCGAGCUCGAGGGAGGUAGGGGUGCGCGGAACUUCUGGUGGAGCGGUGAAAUGCGUUGAUAUCAGAAGGAACGCCGGUGGCGAAAGCGGCGCACUGGAUCUCUUCUGACGCUGAGGCGCGAAAGCUAGGGGAGCAAACGGGAUUAGAUACC
Molecule: ribosomal RNA, 440 nt
Filed under: uncultured bacterium
Lineage: Bacteria
Description: bacterial SSU rRNA
Rfam family: Bacterial small subunit ribosomal RNA
Source: RNAcentral